This is a non-coding RNA of Cucurbita pepo subsp. pepo (vegetable marrow), 1008 nucleotides long. NCBI's taxonomy places the organism in Eukaryota, Viridiplantae, Streptophyta, Magnoliopsida, Cucurbitales, Cucurbitaceae. The record is from RefSeq and is a predicted model, not a curated record.
AUUUGUUCUUCUUGAUUUUGCAGUACAUAGUCUUCUUGGUUUGCUUCAAAAUAUGGAGUCCGUGCAAUACUUGAACCUGAAGCCAGAAAAAGCAAGGAAAAAAAAAAGAAAAAAAGAAGGCAUUGAACGCUGAUUUACCUAAACUGAGGAAGAUCAACAAUGAAAGUAAUGCAGCCUGGAGGCAAACGCAGGUACCCAUCUCUACAAAUUAAUUCCAAUGCUUGGUUUUGGAUCUUCAAAGGUCUUUGAACAAUGACAGGACCAGAGAUUUGAUAUGAAAUGGGGUUCUGUAAAGAAGAAUGAGCCUUUUUGGCGGCAAGCAAUAUAUACAGGGAGGUGGGGCGACAGAAUCUAAGCUUUCUUGGAUCAUCAAGAGUGAGAAAGAAGGGGAGGAGAAUAUGAGGAAACUUGAGAGAGGAGGCAUUGUAUAUUUGAAUAGUUGGGAAGCGCAAGCAAGGGAAGGUUUAGAAAACGAAAAAAGGUAUAUGGAGAAGGAAAGGCCUGCUGUGAACUCUAUACUGAUUCUGCAGUUUCGUGUGGUGCCAUUUCCCUUCUUCUCUUUAGAGCUUCAGCUUUAUGUUACUGAAUCAGAAAGUUAAAGGUGGGGUUGGGUUAUGGGUUAUGGGUUAUGGGUUAUGGGUUAUAUGGCCUAUGGGCGAUAGAUUUGUGUGCACAAGUUGCAUCUUGUAGUUUGUGAUCAAGAAUAUUGUCCCCUGGAGAAUCUGCUUAGGUACCAAAACAAGAAUCAAAUCCUUCUCUCGCUGCCUCCAUUUUCUGUUGUGGCAUUUGAUUCCUUCUUUUAGAAACAAGCCCACUUAUCCACUCAACUGCCAGAUACUACUCAUCCAAUAUUCUAACACAACAUAACUGACAUCUCUCCGCAGACUUUCUGAGUGGUUCGUAUGAUCAUACUGCCGCAAGCCACACACCGAGAUCUUAGCCCCCAAACUACUUCCCAUAUUUGGGGCCUUUUCUUACAAUUUUGGUUGAUUUUUUCUUUGUAUCAUA